This 1163-nucleotide long non-coding RNA is filed under the name Physcomitrium patens. RNAcentral's name for it is "long non-coding RNA (PPAT_LNC013821)". Lineage: Eukaryota; Viridiplantae; Streptophyta; Bryopsida; Funariales; Funariaceae. The record is from RNAcentral.
ACUUUCUACUCCUCGCUGGCGGAUCUCAGACCAUAUGCUGCUAUAUUCAAGGCUUUUCAUUACCAUUGUUUGUGCUCGAUGUAACAGUUUUUCUUGGUUUUACAGGAGGGGACUCUAAGACACUGAUGUUUGUACAAAUUAGUCCUAAUGAAGCUGAUUUAAGUGAGACUCUUUGUUCAUUGAAUUUCGCAAGUCGAGUGCGAGGAGUUGAGCUGGGCCCUGCAAGAAAGCAUUUAGACUCAAAUGAGCUAUUUAAAUACAAGCAACUGGUUAGCUACGCUCUAUCUUAAGACUGAUUCCCAGAUCUACUUCAAUUUCUUGUUACAUUUCAUGAAUUGACUCGCAGUUAAGUCCUACGUAGGACUUACAAUCGAGACUUCUGAGUUCUGCAGGCUGAGAAGAGCAAGCAAGAGAGUAGAUUGAAGGAUGAGUUAAUCAGAAAACUCGAGGAAAAACUGCAAACUACUGAUACGAAGUUGAAGGCGAAAGACCAGAUGUGCCAAGCUCUCUCUGAGAAGGCAUGUCACUGUGAACUAUCUCACAUACUUCUGUAGAUAUCUCGUUCUCCUUCGCUAUCUGACUUCUUCCCUAGAUUAUAAGCUGAUCAACUCUUUUUUAUUUUUUAUCAGCUGAAAGAGAUGGGAGAUCUCGAUGCGCAGCUCUUGAACGAGAGACGUGCGCGCCUAGUAGCUGAUGCUUCAUGUCGUGAUCAGAAGGCAACGAUGGAAAAGUUGGUAGUCGAGUCGAAACUAUCUCUGGAUAAACUUGCUGAGAAAUUAGCAUCUGAAUCGAGACACGCUAAAGAUGCAUCGGCAGCUGAAGCAAGGCAAGCAAGAGAGGCUCUUGAGUUAGUACAAUCUAAAGAAGCACUCGAAAUGGAAUUGAAGGAAGUCAAGGAAGCUCUUCACUCUGCAUCAGCUACACAUGCGAAGGAGGUCUCUAGAUUAAUGCAACAACUAAAAGCAAAUGCGAUUUGUACCACACCAAUGCAGGAAUCAACCAGAGUAAAUGUAAGUUCUCAUCUGCGUUUUUAAAAACAAAUUGAUUACUCUUCAAAAGUUAUCGUUCAUAAUUUUUGUCCUCUAAUGGCUCUUUUGUAACUACCUCAGGGCCUUCAAACACAAGUCGAGGCCUUACUCCGAAGACCCGCACUAGUCGAGGCC